CAUGUUAUCAUACAUGUGAACCUCCCGAUGGGAGUACAAUACUCCCGUUUUCAGGGGUCCCCUCCCGUGUUCCCGUCGAAGAGGAAAAACUCCUGUGCAGAAAAAAUUUUAUGAAUGAAAAUUUUCAGUCGCCAUUUUUACUAUUUUGUUUACAAAAUUUAUUAUUGAGAUCGUAAAAACCAGAGAUUUUUUAAGUCGUAAAAACACGAGGUUUAUCGAACGUAUCCGGUGUAUCCUGAUUACGCAACAUGUGGAGAUUUAAAUCCUUGCUUAGGCUAAUUAACAGUGAUAAUAAUUUGAUUGAACAAUCAUAAGGUGUUGGAUUAUCAAUUACUCUAUGUGGCUUCUGUUUAUGGCACACGCCAAGGAUGAUUAAAGGUAAAUACCGAUAAAUACCGGCACUGAUAGAAAAUGGAAUGUUGUUGUCUGAACAUUUAUCGGAAGUUUUUUGAUGCAG
This 457-nucleotide long non-coding RNA is filed under the name Mytilus galloprovincialis (Mediterranean mussel). Lineage: Eukaryota; Metazoa; Mollusca; Bivalvia; Mytilida; Mytilidae. The record is from RNAcentral.